CCCUGGUUAGCUCAGUUGGUAGAGCGCUCCACUGGAAAUGGAGAGAUCCCUGGUUCGAUACCCGGACCAGGCG
Ixodes scapularis (black-legged tick) is the source of this 73-nucleotide non-coding RNA. The record is from Rfam. Lineage: Eukaryota; Metazoa; Arthropoda; Arachnida; Ixodida; Ixodidae.